This is a long non-coding RNA of Alligator sinensis (Chinese alligator), 234 nucleotides long. RefSeq lists it as uncharacterized. The record is from RefSeq and is a predicted model, not a curated record. NCBI's taxonomy places the organism in Eukaryota, Metazoa, Chordata, Crocodylia, Alligatoridae. The transcript is spliced from 3 exons.
AGACUGCAUCUUUUUUUUUCCUACAGCUUGUUGGCUACAAAGAGGAAGAAGUGACAGAUUUGAAAUAAAGAUGAAGUCUGAAUUGGGAAAAGGAGGAAAUUGAUCUUGGAUUUCUCACAAUGCAAAUAAGUACCCUAACCACAGUGCUGUUAGCUACUCAGCUAUUGUGACUGAGGUCACUGAAGCAGUCAAGCAGCAACUGCACAUCACAAUUGAGGCUAACAAACAAAACAA